UAACUGGCUUGUCGCAGCCAAGCGUCUGCUGCAACGUUGCUUUUUGAUCUUCUGAUCUCGGCUCUUCCUAUCAUUUCGAAGCAAAAUUCGCCAAGCGUUGGGUUGUUCUCCCACUAAUAGGGAACGUGAGCUGGGUUUAGACCGUCGUUAGACAAGUC
Molecule: non-coding RNA, 158 nt
Filed under: Caenorhabditis briggsae
Lineage: Eukaryota; Metazoa; Nematoda; Chromadorea; Rhabditida; Rhabditidae
Description: Eukaryotic large subunit ribosomal RNA
Rfam family: Eukaryotic large subunit ribosomal RNA
Source: Rfam by way of RNAcentral